Molecule: unclassified non-coding RNA, 226 nt
Filed under: air metagenome
Description: partial contains small subunit ribosomal RNA, internal transcribed spacer 1, and 5.8S ribosomal RNA
Rfam family: Eukaryotic small subunit ribosomal RNA (bases 1-46)
Source: RNAcentral
AAGUCGUAACAAGGUCUCCGUUGGUGAACCAGCGGAGGGAUCAUUACAGAGUUUAUAACUCCCAAACCCAUGUGAACUUACCUUUUGUUGCCUCGGCGGGGCCGCUCCCCUUCACAGGGACGGGCCUGCCGGUGGACUACCAAAAAACUCUUGUUAUCUAUGUGUCUCUUCUGAGUUAUACAAACUUAAUAAGUUAAAACUUUCAACAACGGAUCUCUUGGUUCUG